Molecule: long non-coding RNA, 1964 nt
Filed under: Linum usitatissimum (flax)
Lineage: Eukaryota; Viridiplantae; Streptophyta; Magnoliopsida; Malpighiales; Linaceae
Description: long non-coding RNA (LUSI_LNC005337)
Source: RNAcentral
GAUUAUCACAUAAUACCUAUGAUAAGUAAACUUAGCUAGCAAUCCAGCUAUACAGGUCCACAAUAAAGGCAGCUAUACACGACAUGGAUAGAAGACCAUGGUCAAAAAGAGCGGGUGGAAGAUGCUAGACUGGACGACACGGAUAGAAGAUCAGCUAUAUGCAACAACAAAAGCGGCUGAACGAUGGAGUAGUGGUUAGGAUCAUUCAUCAAAAAGGCAUUUCUUUGUUGGCUUGCGCUUGCCUCGGCCAAGUGCUGGGUCUAUUUCCUACUUGGAGCAAACUCUAGAAUAGAGGAUAAAAUCCUACUCGGAUUUUGAAGAACCGUAUGCUGGAGACGAUGCAGGCACGAACACAGGUGAAGCCAGGAUUUGACUAUUAUGCAAACACAACAAACCACCCGUUUAUUAUGAGAGAUUGCUAAAUAGGAAGACAAUGAUUUUAACCGAGAUGAGAGAAAACAUUGGUGGAAAAGAAUAAAAGGAUGCAAGGUGUAACUCUGACCUUACAGCAGCCUUAGAGUGUUUGAUAUACUCAGAACCAGUUUGAAAAAUGUCAUGUGCAAUUGGAGAGCUGCAUUUAAAGAGAAGAAAGUUAUAGAACGUUGCAAGGAGAAACAGAACACGUGAAUGAAGCACUAAAUCUUGACAACAUGUAUCUUAGAAAUAUAUGCAAUUACCCCAAUGGUGUAGCGGCAGGAGAUGUAGUAGCUAAAUUAGCUCUAGUGGGAUUGUUUGUUUCGAAGGCAGAAAGUGAGCGCUUGGUAAGGAAAAUUUGCGACAUGGGUUGAUUGUCCUCAGAAGUUGCAGGAUGAAGAAAGUGGAGGUGUUUGUUGUUUGGUUGACCUUGUGAUCAAAAAUAACAAAUAGAAGAGUGAAAAUGUAGGUACGUGUACUUGUAAGCAUUCACACAUGCAAAAUACAGUUUUGUGAGAUUAAAGAGAACACUCUGAAAUUAUAGGUGGGAAGCUGUACAUGUUGGUAUUUCUUGUAACUGGCUUGGAAGCUGGGGUUCCUUUAGUCUUGGCUGCCACCUUUGGAGAAGUCUUCCUUGCAGGAGUUGAUCUGGAAGAUGGCAAAAGUAAAAAUGAAACAAAGAAGGUAAAUGGAAACAUGGACCAAACUAACUUUGUCUUCGGCAGCUUGGAUUGUUUUUUCGUUUUGAAGUGUCCUCAUCUUUGUGAGCAGCACUAACCAAAGAACUUAAUUGGAAAAGAGUGCAAAGUUAAGUAAGAAUGUAGAGUGUGAUAUAAGAACAUCCGAUAGUAAACUAACACUUGGUCUUCAGAAACAGUGGUUGGAGAUGUUGAAGGUGAGACAUAAGUUGGCACUGGGGCAACAUGCUCAGGAUCACCGGGCAUAGGUGUGUUGUGAGUACUUGGGGAACUGCAAAAAAUAUAAAGGUAAUGAAAAAGCAGGAAAGAUAUCACAAUGAAGAAAGUGCAAAAGGCUAACUGUAUACAAACGUCAACGGGCUAAUUAGGGUCGAAGGGGGAGGCGGAGCAACUGACUGACGACGGGGAGUAACCAAACCAGAGAUAUUGCAAACUUUAAAAUCUCCAAAAGGGUUUGAGUGGCUAAACUUUGGCAGUUGGAAUUCAAAAUCAACAUUUUUUCCUACUAAGAAUGCAAUUGCUGGUGGGAAUUGGUCAAGAUCAUUUGGAUAUGCACGGACCAACUAAGCAGCGGGGAUGGGGAGAAUUCUUUCAGCCGUCAUACCAAGCAAAACGAACAAUGCCUCAACAGUUGAAUCUGAAACCAUAAGCUUUAGGCGAUACCUGAGAAAUACAGAGUAUAAACUGGACAACAAUAAAAUAUCUGCAAAUAAAAGGAGUGCCAAUAUGGGGGUAGGUACAGAAAAUGUGGCCAUUUCAGCAAUGAUGUAUCGCAAUGAAGGAAGCAAAACACUAUCAUGAACAAUACAACAUUGAUGGGCACACACAUGAAGUGUAUAGUUGAAUCCUCUG